UACGAAGGGGGCUAGCGUUGCUCGGAAUCACUGGGCGUAAAGCGCACGUAGGCGGCUUACUAAGUCAGGGGUGAAAUCCUGGAGCUCAACUCCAGAACUGCCUUUGAUACUGGUGAGCUUGAGUCCGGAAGAGGUGAGUGGAACUGCGAGUGUAGAGGUGAAAUUCGUAGAUAUUCGCAAGAACACCAGUGGCGAAGGCGGCUCACUGGUCCGGUACUGACGCUGAGGCGCGAAAGCGUGGGGAGCGAACAGG
This 253-nucleotide ribosomal RNA is filed under the name uncultured bacterium. Its description in RNAcentral is "partial 16S ribosomal RNA". It matches the Rfam family "Bacterial small subunit ribosomal RNA", at positions 524 to 776 of the family's 1533-position model. The record is from RNAcentral.